This 439-nucleotide ribosomal RNA is filed under the name uncultured Gammaproteobacteria bacterium. RNAcentral describes it as "bacterial SSU rRNA". It matches the Rfam family "Bacterial small subunit ribosomal RNA", at positions 1091 to 1532 of the family's 1533-position model. The record is from RNAcentral. Lineage: Bacteria; Pseudomonadati; Pseudomonadota; Gammaproteobacteria.
UACGAGCGCACCCUUGUCCUUAUUUGCCAGCGCGUAAUGGCGGGAACUCUAAGGAGACUGCCGGUGACAAACCGGAGGAAGGUGGGGACGACGUCAAGUCAUCAUGGCCCUUACGAGUAGGGCUACACACGUGCUACAAUGGUCGGUACAAAGGGUUGCCAACUCGCGAGAGUGAGCUAAUCCCGAAAAGCCGAUCUCAGUCCGGAUCGGAGUCUGCAACUCGACUCCGUGAAGUCGGAAUCGCUAGUAAUCGUGGAUCAGAAUGCCACGGUGAAUACGUUCCCGGGCCUUGUACACACCGCCCGUCACACCAUGGGAGUGGACUGCACCAGAAGUGGUUAGCCUAACGCAAGAGGGCGAUCACCACGGUGUGGUUCAUGACUGGGGUGAAGUCGUAACAAGGUAGCCGUAGGGGAACCUGCGGCUGGAUCACCUCCUU